CAAUAGCGUAUAUUAAAGUUGUUGCAGUUAAAAAGCUCGUAGUUGGAUUUCGGAGUGGCACGGCCGGUCCGCCGCAAGGUGUGUCACUGGCCGGGCCGCUCUUCUUCGCAAAGACUUUGUGUGCUCUUGACUGAGUGUGCGGAGGACUUGCGACGUUUACUUUGAAAAAUUAGAGUGUUCAAAGCAGGCCAGCGCUUGAAUACAUAAGCAUGGAAUAAUGGAAUAGGACUUUGGUUCUAUUUUGUUGGUUUCUAGGACCGAAGUAAUGAUUGAUAGGGAUAGUUGGGGGUGCUAGUAUUCAGCGGCCAGAGGUGAAAUUCUUGGAUUCGCUGAAGACUAACUCAUGCGAAAGCAUUCACCAAGGAUGUCUUCUUUAAUCAAGAACGAAAGUUGGGGGAUCGAAGACGAUCAGAUACCGU
This 419-nucleotide ribosomal RNA is filed under the name uncultured eukaryote. Its description in RNAcentral is "bacterial SSU rRNA". It matches the Rfam family "Eukaryotic small subunit ribosomal RNA", at positions 592 to 1018 of the family's 1831-position model. The record is from RNAcentral.